Molecule: ribosomal RNA, 197 nt
Filed under: uncultured bacterium
Lineage: Bacteria
Description: partial 16S ribosomal RNA
Rfam family: Bacterial small subunit ribosomal RNA
Source: RNAcentral
UCUGCAACUCGACUACAUGAAGCCGGAAUCGCUAGUAAUCGCGGAUCAGAAUGCCGCGGUGAAUACGUUCCCGGGCCUUGUACACACCGCCCGUCACACCAUGAGAGUUUGUAACACCCAAAGCCGGUGGGGUAACCUUUUGGAGCCAGCCGUCUAAGGUGGGACAGAUGAUUGGGGUGAAGUCGUAACAAGGUAGC